GAUGAACGCUGGCGGCGUGCCUAAUACAUGCAAGUCGAGCGAACGGACGAGAAGCUUGCUUCUCUGAUGUUAGCGGCGGACGGGUGAGUAACACGUGGAUAACCUACCUAUAAGACUGGGAUAACUUCGGGAAACCGGAGCUAAUACCGGAUAAUAUUUUGAACCGCAUGGUUCAAAAGUGAAAGACGGUCUUGCUGUCACUUAUAGAUGGAUCCGCGCUGCAUUAGCUAGUUGGUAAGGUAACGGCUUACCAAGGCAACGAUGCAUAGCCGACCUGAGAGGGUGAUCGGCCACACUGGAACUGAGACACGGUCCAGACUCCUACGGGAGGCAGCAGUAGGGAAUCUUCCGCAAUGGGCGAAAGCCUGACGGAGCAACGCCGCGUGAGUGAUGAAGGUCUUCGGAUCGUAAAACUCUGUUAUUAGGGAAGAACAUAUGUGUAAGUAACUGUGCACAUCUUGACGGUACCUAAUCAGAAAGCCACGGCUAACUACGUGCCAGCAGCCGCGGUAAUACGUAGGUGGCAAGCGUUAUCCGGAAUUAUUGGGCGUAAAGCGCGCGUAGGCGGUUUUUUAAGUCUGAUGUGAAAGCCCACGGCUCAACCGUGGAGGGUCAUUGGAAACUGGAAAACUUGAGUGCAGAAGAGGAAAGUGGAAUUCCAUGUGUAGCGGUGAAAUGCGCAGAGAUAUGGAGGAACACCAGUGGCGAAGGCGACUUUCUGGUCUGUAACUGACGCUGAUGUGCGAAAGCGUGGGGAUCAAACAGGAUUAGAUACCCUGGUAGUCCACGCCGUAAACGAUGAGUGCUAAGUGUUAGGGGGUUUCCGCCCCUUAGUGCUGCAGCUAACGCAUUAAGCACUCCGCCUGGGGAGUACGACCGCAAGGUUGAAACUCAAAGGAAUUGACGGGGACCCGCACAAGCGGUGGAGCAUGUGGUUUAAUUCGAAGCAACGCGAAGAACCUUACCAAAUCUUGACAUCCUUUGACAACUCUAGAGAUAGAGCCUUCCCCUUCGGGGGACAAAGUGACAGGUGGUGCAUGGUUGUCGUCAGCUCGUGUUGUGAGAUGUUGGGUUAAGUCCCGCAACGAGCGCAACCCUUAAGCUUAGUUGCCAUCAUUAAGUUGGGCACUCUAAGUUGACUGCCGGUGACAAACCGGAGGAAGGUGGGGAUGACGUCAAAUCAUCAUGCCCCUUAUGAUUUGGGCUACACACGUGCUGCAAUGGACAAUACAAAGGGCAGCGAAACCGCGAGGUCAAGCAAAUCCCAUAAAGUUGUUCUCAGUUCGGAUUGUAGUCUGCAACUCGACUACAUGAAGCUGGAAUCGCUAGUAAUCGUAGAUCAGCAUGCUACGGUGAAUACGUUCCCGGGUCU
This 1372-nucleotide ribosomal RNA is filed under the name uncultured bacterium. RNAcentral describes it as "bacterial SSU rRNA". It matches the Rfam family "Bacterial small subunit ribosomal RNA", at positions 28 to 1381 of the family's 1533-position model. The record is from RNAcentral.